RNAcentral lists this ribosomal RNA (460 nucleotides) under uncultured bacterium. RNAcentral's name for it is "partial 16S ribosomal RNA". It matches the Rfam family "Bacterial small subunit ribosomal RNA", at positions 338 to 795 of the family's 1533-position model. The record is from RNAcentral.
CCUACGGGGGGCAGCAGUGAGGAGUAUUGGUCAAUGGGCGCGAGCCUGAACCAGCCAAGUCGCGUGAGGGAGGACGGCCCUACGGGUUGUAAACCUCUUUUGCCGGGGAGCAACGGGCGCCACGUGUGGCGUCACUGAGAGUACCCGGAGAAAAAGCAUCGGCUAACUCCGUGCCAGCAGCCGCGGUAAUACGGAGGAUGCGAGCGUUAUCCGGAUUUAUUGGGUUUAAGGGGUGCGUAGGCGGAUCGUUAAGUCAGUGGUCAAAUUGAGGGGCUCAACCCCUUCCCGCCAUUGAAACUGGCGUUCUUGAGUGGAAGAGAAGUAUGCGGAAUGCGUGGUGUAGCGGUGAAAUGCAUAGAUAUCACGCAGAACCCCGAUUGCGAAGGCAGCAUGCCGGCUUCCGACUGACGCUGAAGCUCGAAAGUGUGGGUAUCAAACAGGAUUAGAUACCCGAGUAGUC